GAUGAACGCUGGCGGCGUGCCUAAUACAUGCAAGUCGAACGAAACUUCUUUAUCACCGAGUGCUUGCACUCACCGAUAAAGAGUUGAGUGGCGAACGGGUGAGUAACACGUGGGCAACCUGCCCAAAAGAGGGGGAUAACACUUGGAAACAGGUGCUAAUACCGCAUAACCAUAGUUACCGCAUGGUAACUAUGUAAAAGGUGGCUAUACUACCGCUUUUGGAUGGGCCCGCGGCGCAUUAGCUAGUUGGUAGGGUAAAGGCUUACCAAGGCAAUGAUGCGUAGCCGAAUUGAGAGGUUGAUCGGCCACAUUGGGACUGAGACACGGCCCAAACUCCUACGGGAGGCAGCAGUAGGGAAUCUUCCACAAUGGGCGAAAGCCUGAUGGAGCAACGCCGCGUGGGUGAAGAAGGUCUUCGGAUCGUAAAACCCUGUUGUUAGAGAAGAAAGUGCGUGAGAGUAACUGUUCACGCUUCGACGGUACCUAACCAGAAAGCCACUGCUAACUACGUG
Molecule: ribosomal RNA, 512 nt
Filed under: uncultured bacterium
Lineage: Bacteria
Description: partial 16S ribosomal RNA
Rfam family: Bacterial small subunit ribosomal RNA
Source: RNAcentral